RNAcentral lists this ribosomal RNA (422 nucleotides) under uncultured bacterium. RNAcentral describes it as "bacterial SSU rRNA". It matches the Rfam family "Bacterial small subunit ribosomal RNA", at positions 355 to 774 of the family's 1533-position model. The record is from RNAcentral.
UGAGGAAUAUUGGUCAAUGGGCGCAAGCCUGAACCAUCCAUCCCGCGUGAAGGAUGAAGGCCCUAUGGGUCGUAAACUUCUUUUAUACACCAAGAAAGAGCAGGACGUGUCCUGCCCCGACGGUAGUGUAUGAAUAAGCAUCGGCUAACUCCGUGCCAGCAGCCGCGGUAAUACGGAGGAUGCGAGCGUUAUCCGGAUUCAUUGGGUUUAAAGGGUGCGUAGGCGGCUUUUUAAGUCAGUGGUGAAAUCUUGCCGCUUAACGGUAAAAUUGCCAUUGAUACUGAUAAGCUUGAGUACAAUUGAGGUAAGCGGAAUGUGUAGGGUAGCGGUGAAAUGCUUAGAUAUUACACAGAACACCGAUUGCGAAGGCAAUCCCCUGGACCUGUACUGACGCUCAUGCACGAAAGCGUGGGGAGCAAACA